GAUGAAGAACGUAGCGAAUUGCGAUAUGUAAUGUGAAUUGCAGAAUUCAGUGAAUCAUCGAAUCUUUGAACGCACCUUGCACCCUUUGGCAUUCCGAAGGGUAUGCUCGUUUGAGUGUCAUUGUACUCUCACUCUCCCGAUGCUUUUGGAUCGGGAGUGGUGGACUUGGGUGUUGCUGCUUUGCUGUGGCUCGCCUCAAAUGGAGUAGUGCAACUCUUGGUUGGACAUAGUACGGCGUGAUAAGUGUCUUCGCCGGCGCCUCAUUAUAGAGGGUGGCCGAUCGGGAGCUCUGUGCUUCAAACCGUCUUCGGACAACAUCUGACAACUUGACCUCAAAUCGAGUAGGACUACCCGCUGAACUUAAGCAUAUCAAUAAGCGGAGGA
This 384-nucleotide unclassified non-coding RNA is filed under the name soil metagenome. Its description in RNAcentral is "partial contains 5.8S ribosomal RNA, internal transcribed spacer 2, and large subunit ribosomal RNA". The stretch from base 1 to 120 matches the Rfam family "5.8S ribosomal RNA", at positions 35 to 154 of the family's 154-position model. The record is from RNAcentral.